RNAcentral lists this ribosomal RNA (612 nucleotides) under Triticum aestivum (bread wheat). Its description in RNAcentral is "partial small subunit ribosomal RNA". Lineage: Eukaryota; Viridiplantae; Streptophyta; Magnoliopsida; Poales; Poaceae. The record is from RNAcentral.
AUGUUCUCCUUGUUACAUGGUCUAUGGAACCAUGUGUUCAGCAAGACAGAGUUCCGUGUGCUCAUCCUUGGAGUCGAUAAGGCUGGGAAGACGACCUUGCUAGAAAAGUUGAAGUCAAUCUAUUUGAAAGGAGAAGGUCUUCCACAUGAUCGUAUUGGUCCAACUGUGGGGCUUAAUAUUGGACGUAUUGAAGAUGCAAAUGUAAAACUUGUUUUCUGGGAUCUGGGAGGUCAGCCUGGCCUAAGAACAAUAUGGGAGAAAUAUUAUGAUGAGGCUCAUGCUAUAGUAUAUGUUAUCGACUCUGCCUCCGCAUCAACAUUUGAAGAUGCCAAAUCUGCUCUUGAGAAAGUGCUUCGUCACGAGGAUCUGCAAGAGGCACCACUACUCGUAUUCGCCAACAAACAGGAUUUACCAGCAUCUGUCACAGAAGAAGAAUUGGACAGACAUCUUCACCUUAAAGAGUUUGAUGAGAGGCCAUAUAUGUUUGUUGCGGGAUCUGCAUAUGAUGGGACGGGGAUCAAACUGGGUAUCGACUGGUUGGUAGAAGAAAUGGGAAAGAGUAGGCGCACCGAGGCUCUGAGGGCACGCACCGACACAUAUGCAAAGAUUUAG